RNAcentral lists this long non-coding RNA (369 nucleotides) under Ananas comosus (pineapple). RNAcentral describes it as "long non-coding RNA (ACOM_LNC042208)". The record is from RNAcentral. Lineage: Eukaryota; Viridiplantae; Streptophyta; Magnoliopsida; Poales; Bromeliaceae.
UAAAAAAAAAAGGAUGCUCAAAGAGCCACUCCUGUCUCGAAUAUUGUGCAUAACUCAAUUUGAACAUAUUAUUUUAAUUUCACGAUUCUGAGAAUUAUUUAUACAUUUUCUUUAACUAAUAUGAUGAUAAAACGAUACAAUAAAUUCCUAGAUCUUGCAUGAUGUGUGGGAUUUUAUUUUAUAUGUAUCUAGAAUUUUCAUUGAUUUUCGGGUCAACAAUUUUUGACAAUUUGAAUAUCCUUGAAAUUGAUUUUUCAAAAUUUAUUUAUGAAAUUUUAUUUGAAGUUUUUGGAUGAAAAUUGGUUAUUUUUGUUGAUUAAACAUUGAGGAAUAACAUAUAUAUUUUCUGGAAUUUUUGAGCUUAUUUUA